UUGAUCUGGUCCCUGAGCUGUGGACUGACUUCCCUGCUUGACCUCAGCUCUGCUGUGAGUUUGCCUGCUGACCUGGCCUCCUGGCUGAAGCUGGGGCCCCAGUCUCUGGGGCUGCUCCAGUUGCUUUGUUUGGGAGUGGUGGGAUGGGGCCCUGGGCGGUGAGACCCUGCCCUGGCUCUCCACCCCUUAGGGAACGGCUGGCUCUUGUUGCUCCCUGGUAAUAAGAGCUUCUAAACCUUAAAUCUAAUUGCUUUCAAUGAAGUUUGGUGAGAUGACUUAUGGCAGGUAUUCAAGAAUUCAUUAAAUGCAUAAAAUCAUAGGUGUUAUGAAUGGUUUAAAAACAUAGGCAUAGUAUGUCCAGGUUAUCAGUGUGGAAGAUGCUCUUUGACCCCUUGACCGCCAAAUCAAGAAAGAAACCUGGGGAUGCUGUUUGUUAGAAAAUGAGACGAAGGUAGCAAUGUCUGCAAAGCAAUCUUUUAAUAUCUGAAACUUCCUGACUUAAGGAGGCUGUGAGUGUUUGCCACUCUGCAGGCAUAUGUGGAGCACAGGGGUUGUUAGAUGCCUGCACAGCGUACCGUGCUCAGCGUCUUCCCCCUGCUCCAGAAAGAGGUAAAUACAACUCCGUCAGCCUUGAGAUGCGCUUCGCGUGUACAGGGAGCUGAGCCGUCUCUCGCUGCACGCGUUGUUGGGGAGAGUGAGAGCUCCUCUUUAGAAAUGUAUAAGAGACUUCCUGGACGUGCAGGUGUUUACAGGAUAUGAAUAUCUUCCUGUGACAGCCAUCAUUCAUAGCUCUGCCUGCAAGAGGGAGUUAACACCCCAAAAGGACAAACGAGGAAGAAGAGCAGACAGUGUCAAUUUGGGUCAGAAAGGUUAUGGAUCUAUUCCGCUGAAUGAAGUGAUGACCAUAAACAGCACAGGGUUUACUGCAAAUUGGGGUUUAGAUUCAAAUUUCAGCAGCCGUUGCAAUUCACUUCUUGCUCUUACAUUUUCAAUCGUUUUCUCCCUCACCUUUUUAAGAAGGAGAGGAAUCCACGGUGAGCAUCCGCAGAGCCUGCACCAUUGUCUCGUGGUUACACCACUGUGUGCAUCACUCGCCGGCCUCUUCGCAUCAGCACAGCAUGGGGAAAACACUACACGAAGUUCCUUCAUUGUCCUUGUUGAAGUUAACCUGCACAGGGAUGGGUGCUGCCCUGGAGGAGAAAGGGGAUUAGCCCCUCAGAAGGCUCUUCAUCCGCAGAGAUCUGCAGGAGUCUCGAAAAUCCUCUAGGGUAGUUCUCCAUCUGUGCUUUGGGAUACGUGGUGUACGCAAACAAGAGAGGUUGAUAACUGGGCUAAGGAGCGAUGUCGACCUGGGAACAGACGAAAGAAUCCUCCUCUGAGCUAUCAGAAAGCUGACCGUCAUCCCUUCGCUGGUGGAUUUAUGCGUCCAGAGGUAUCGCCAUUCCUUCACUUUUGCACAGUAGGCCAACCCAAAGCUUGGGCAUCACUUAACAACCUGGUUUUUCAUACUAUCAGGAAAAAAAUCAUUUGGCAGAUGUAAACAGCUGAAAUGUCAGUGCUCUGAGUUGGACCAAGCUGUAGCAGCAGUGCAUUUGGCCUCACUUCCCCGCUUUGUCUUGUUGACAAGCAUGCAGACAGCUUGAACAUCAGAGCUGUUCCUUUAGGGUUGGUGGUUGUUUUAAAUAAGGAGAUCCUGCCUUGUCCUGAAAUAUGUGCAACUUGAGAUGGGCUGGAAACUUCUGAAAAAUGGCCUCCCUGGGUGAAGCCAAAGCAGUGGCAGCGUGUAGCUGGUGUUUUGUGAUGUUUUCAUUAAUCUUACUAUAGGACUGUCUGCACUGUUUUAUACUAUGUGUAUGUAUAACAAAGACUGUUCCUACUCCAAAAGAGCCCACAGCCUAAAGCCAUGCCUGCUUUAGAGCAAUCCACUGCAGCGUAUGUACUUCAAAGCUCUAUAAAGCCUUCGGUGUAGAUUUGCUACACAGAUGUAAUCUCUGAAAAUUGGUAGGUAUGAACAGAGGACGUUUUACGACGGAUUACAUCUAGUGCAGUUGGAUAGUUCUUUACAGCCAGGGCCUUAGUGUGCUGUGGUUCAUGAUGGUAAUUAGUUGGAUUGAGUUGCGCUGGUAUAAACAAAGUAAUAAUGAGACGGCUACAGUAAAUGGAAUAAGCAGCA
Molecule: non-coding RNA, 2173 nt
Organism: Struthio camelus australis
Lineage: Eukaryota; Metazoa; Chordata; Aves; Struthioniformes; Struthionidae
Source: RefSeq, a predicted model, not a curated record